UGAACGCUGGCGGCGUGCUUAACACAUGCAAGUCGCACGAGAACGCUUUAGCUUGCUAAAGUUAGUAAAGUGGCGAACGGGUGAGUAACGCGUGGGUAAUCUACCCUUGAGUUCGGGAUAACAUUGCGAAAGCGAUGCUAAUACCGGAUGACAUCUUUCAAACUUCUGUUUUUAAGAUCAAAGGUGGCCUCUUCUUGAAAGCUACUGCUUGGGGAUGAGCCCGCGUACCAUUAGCUUGUUGGUAGGGUAAUGGCCUACCAAGGCUACGAUGGUUAGCUGGUCUGAGAGGAUGAUCAGCCACACUGGAACUGACACACGGUCCAGACUCCUACGGGAGGCAGCAGUGAGGAAUUUUGCGCAAUGGGGGAAACCCUGACGCAGCAACGCCGCGUGAGUGAUGAAGGCCUUCGGGUCGUAAAGCUCUGUCAAGUGGGAAGAACCAGAUUGAUGUUAAUACCAUCUUUCUCUGACGGUACCACUGAAGGAAGAACCGGCUAACUCC
Molecule: ribosomal RNA, 502 nt
Filed under: uncultured bacterium
Lineage: Bacteria
Description: bacterial SSU rRNA
Rfam family: Bacterial small subunit ribosomal RNA
Source: RNAcentral